Molecule: ribosomal RNA, 884 nt
Filed under: Thermodesulfobacterium sp. 70-S-12
Lineage: Bacteria; Pseudomonadati; Thermodesulfobacteriota; Thermodesulfobacteria; Thermodesulfobacteriales; Thermodesulfobacteriaceae
Description: bacterial SSU rRNA
Rfam family: Bacterial small subunit ribosomal RNA
Source: RNAcentral
GAACGCUAGCGGCGCGCUUAACCCAUGCAAGUCGUGCGGGAAAGGGCUUCGGCCCAAGUACCGCGGCAGACGGGUGAGUAACACGUGAGUAACCUGUCCCCGGGUCUGGGAUAACCAUCCGAAAGGAUGGCUAAUACCGGAUAAAGUUGCCAGGCGCAGGCCUGGCAAUGAAAGGGRGCCUCUGCAUAGCAAGUUCCUGCCUGGGGAGGGGCUCGCGGCCCAUCAGCUAGUUGGUGGGGUAACGGCCCACCAAGGCUGCGACGGGUAGCCGGCCUGAGAGGGUGGUCGGCCACACGGGCACUGAGACACGGGCCCGACUCCUACGGGAGGCAGCAGGGGGGAAUCUUGGGCAAUGGGCGCAAGCCUGACCCAGCGACGCCGCGUGGGGGAAGAAGGCCUUCGGGUCGUAAACCCCUGUUCUGGGGGAAGAACCCUGRCUUAGUUAAUAGCUAAGUCAGGCUGACGGUACCCCAGGAGAAAGCCACGGCUAACUGCGUGCCAGCAGCCGCGGUAAUACGCAGGUGGCGAGCGUUGCCCGGAAUCACUGGGCGUAAAGGGUGCGUAGGCGGCCGGACAAGUCAUAGGUCAAAGCCCGGAGCUUAACUCCGGAAAGGCCUAUGAUACUGUCUGGCUUGAGGACCGGAGAGGCUGGCGGAAUUCCCGGUGUAGGGGUGAAAUCCGUAGAUAUCGGGAGGAACACCGGUGGGGAAGCCGGCCAGCUGGACGGUUCCUGACGCUGAGGCACGAAAGCGUGGGGAGCAAACCGGAUUAGAUACCCGGGUAGUCCACGCCGUAAACGAUGGGCGCUAGGUGUGGGGGGUUAAACUCUCCGUGCCGAAGCUAACGCGUUAAGCGCCCCGCCUGGGGAGUACGGCCGCAAGGCU